UUUGACUGGGGCGGUCUCCUCCUAAAGAGUAACGGAGGAGCACGAAGGUUGGCUAAUCCUGGUCGGACAUCAGGAGGUUAGUGCAAUGGCAUAAGCCAGCUUGACUGCGAGCGUGACGGCGCGAGCAGGUGCGAAAGCAGGUCAUAGUGAUCCGGUGGUUCUGAAUGGAAGGGCCAUCGCUCAACGGAUAAAAGGUACUCCGGGGAUAACAGGCUGAUACCGCCCAAGAGUUCAUAUCGACGGCGGUGUUUGGCACCUCGAUGUCGGCUCAUCACAUCCUGGGGCUGAAGUAGGUCCCAAGGGUAUGGCUGUUCGCCAUUUAAAGUGGUACGCGAGCUGGGUUUAGAACGUCGUGAGACAGUUCGGUCCCUAUCUGCCGUGGGCGCUGGAGAACUGAGGGGGGCUGCUCCUAGUACGAGAGGACCGGAGUGGACGCAUCACUGGUGUUCGGGUUGUCAUGCCAAUGGCACUGCCCGGUAGCUAAAUGCGGAAGAGAUAAGUGCUGAAAGCAUCUAAGCACGAAACUUGCCCCGAGAUGAGUUCUCCCUGACUCCUUGAGAGUCCUGAAGGAACGUUGA
RNAcentral lists this ribosomal RNA (578 nucleotides) under Escherichia coli. RNAcentral's name for it is "bacterial LSU rRNA". It matches the Rfam family "Bacterial large subunit ribosomal RNA", at positions 2269 to 2841 of the family's 2925-position model. Lineage: Bacteria; Pseudomonadati; Pseudomonadota; Gammaproteobacteria; Enterobacterales; Enterobacteriaceae. RNAcentral also lists the same sequence under 1 other name. The record is from RNAcentral.